Molecule: long non-coding RNA, 5450 nt
Filed under: Gallus gallus (chicken)
Lineage: Eukaryota; Metazoa; Chordata; Aves; Galliformes; Phasianidae
Description: lncRNA (ENSGALG00010023504.1)
Source: RNAcentral
UGCAGUGAAAAGGAGAAUGAUUUAUUUAUUUUUUUUACACACUGUAGUGAAUUACUUUUAGCACUGGGUGAGUCUUUGCACUGAUGGGAACCAUGUAAACGUUCAGAGAGAUUCAUUAUCACUUUGUCAAGCAUUUCCAUCCACUCAUGAAUCUGGUUACAAAUGAAAGAAAGAAUGAAAGAAGUAAAGGGACUGUUUUGCGCUGAGCUUACCUGGCACUUCUGCUGUGACGUGGUGCCUGUCAUCCUUUGAAUAUGUUUUCCAGCUGUUUCAUACUUGUGUCUCUCUAUACUUGAGGAGAGGGGAAAUCACACUGUCCGACUUACCAGCUGUUCUUGGUGUUAUCUGGACUAGUUUUAGUGCCCGGGAGGGAAUAUUGUUCCUUCAUGAAUUAUGAAACUCCCGUACAGUUCAUGGUACUGUUGUGAGGUUGUGUGAAAUCUGCCACGUGGCCGUUCUGUUCUUGUCUUGGAGAUGUGGCUAUCUUUUGAAGAAAUCAUUAUUGACUAAAUACGUCUAGACUUGAGAAAAUAAAACCACAGAACCUUAUCGUAGGGAUCAUCCUUACAAAUGCAUCACUAUCUCUCACAAUCCAUAAACCUAUGUACUGUGAAAUGAUGCUUUCCUACGAAUGAUCCCAGUGCGGGUUUCCCUUUGUUACGCCUUGAAGGUGAGUUUUCCUUUCAUACGCACGUGAAUAUCUACCUGCACAGAGGAGUGUGUGAAUAGCAAAGCCCUAGGGAGAAUUAAAUAACACUCAUCCCGUACUUCCAGUUGAUUUGCUUCCGAUGUGCCCAUUAAUCGACUGCAAGAGGUUCCUAUGAGACUUUUUAAAACUACACCUGAAUGUAAAGACUCCUUACGGAUGUGAGGUAUACUGUAACGUUUACAUUCAAACGGAUGGCUGAGGAUGAGACAAAAAAAAAAAGUGGUAGCAAAGAGAGUUAUAUCUUGAUUUUUGCAUAGAGAUGUUUUCAGGCACUGAGAACGCGCCCGUGCGUUUGUGCUGUCAAAGAAGAAAUAAGCAGUAUGAGCGUUCCCGGGAUCAAAAAAAGAUUCAAUUGUAAAUAUUUGGCAUUAGCACACCAAUCCAGAACAAGAAGAAAGCCUGAGGCGUUCUGUGGGAGCCAGUUACGGCAGCUGCCUCGGAGAGCCCUCUAUGAAUGGCUUUAUUGUAUUGCCCUCUACCGGAAUUACCGAGGACUGCAGACUGAUGCUCAGCGCGGAGAAAAAACUCGGGCGGGAGCUGCGUGAGGCGGAUACAAAUACGGUGUUUCACACUGCUUGGCAGAACCGCAGGGUCGAAUGCUUCUGGAUUUGCAGUCCAAAGAGGGUCUCGGGUUUUGUUCUGUCUUAGUGACUUUAGAGAAGAUUCCGUGUAUGCAGAAGUGAGACCCAAAGUUCUAAACUUGCCCAGAAAAUGGAUAACGUAUCCUUGAACUUUCAGGAAAAGAAAAAAAGAAAGCUUUCUGAGUUGCAGAGGUAGAUGGUUUCAGAGCUGAUGAGAGAACUGCUGUGUGAAACUGUGAGGAAAAGGUCUCUUUGGGUCCUGUGCCACAGAUUAUGAUUAUGAUUAUUAUUAAUUAUUAUGUUUGCAUUCAAAAAGAAUGCUCAGCUUUUCCUUACUGAUAGGCUUUUAUUAUUACUAUUUAUAUUCAUCCAGCGCUUGACUGAGACCAUUUUCCCCCUUAAAGGUGUAGGUCACUCAAUGCAUACUUGGUUACUGAGAUGUAAGGAAGAAAUGAAUCCCACGAAGGUGCAUUCUGAUCUUAAACCAAGAAAGGGAUUUUAAUGUUUGGCCCACCCUGAACCCACGGUGAAAUCUUCAGUGUUUCUCCCUCCACAGGUGCCUAAAUCCUACUGCUGUUAUACCACGAGCCUGUUAUUCCUGUUGUCACAGCUUUGGUUGGAUGACUUGAACUUUUAAACUAAAUUAUAAAAAAUAAGUCAGAAAUGGACCGAAAGGAGAACUUUUACUGAUGCAGCUCUCACAUGGAAAGACUGACCCAAGGCACUGCUUAAAGAAAGUUUUGCAUGAAAUUAUUGAAAGUAUUUCAUUACUGUACAGGUGAAUUCACCGAUUUUACGCAUUGGAAUAAUCCCUUAGAAGAAAACCUUCUUUCCAUACGAGGAAUUGGAGAAUGUGUGAGUUACUCGUGGCAGCAAGCUGAAGAUCUGACUCGUUUUGUGUAAAAGAUGGAAGAUCAGGUCACGACUCUCGGCCCGGUAAGGUGCAGCAGCUGUAGUUUUGUUCCACCCAUUUAACUCACAGGUUUUGUACUCUUGUUCAGCCUCAGCAAGGUCAUCCAAGCCUUUGAAAGGAAAAGAAAAGCAAUAUUGAAAGGACAGAUUUAAAGAACCGAGCUAAUAGAGUUUUGUAUUUGUCGGAUUUCUCACACGUAAGCCACCAGAACAUCUGUAAGGAAACAGGCACUUUUAGGUGUUCUCCCUUCCGAGGGCUAUUUAGCAGUCCUACAGUACUGUCCACGGUUUGUGGUGUCAUCCUUGCAGGAACCGAGAAUUUACAAGCGUCAUUUUGCUUGUCUUGUAAGAAGAGUAAGAAAUAGGUAGCAGUCCCUUAAUUCUUCUAACCUAGUUUAGAAUCAAUUAAUUAAUCAGUAGCUGUGACUAAUUACUCACUUCCAAUUAACCUGGAAACUGUUACAAAAUGAAGCCAGAGAACAUGACUUCCAUGGUAACCGGUAAGUUUCUGCAGUGAAUUGGUGACGCAACCUAUGUGAUAUUACAUACCCUAUCUACGCUUACCUUAACAAUAGAGAAGGUGAUUUAUUUUGUAAGUUUGUGUUGUGCAGCUUUAUUUAUUUGUUUAUUUAUUUUAGUGCCUAUAUAGUCCUCUACCAACUGUGCUGUUGUAUUUCAAGGGGAGUUUAUGGUCUGUAUUUUAUUACUUGUUAGAAUACUAGCUCGAAAAAGUUAAUAAACCGUACAUGAGUCCAGCGAUGUGACCGUUAACUAACUGGAACACUUUGCCUCACUGAGGACUUGAAAAUCACCAGAUACGAACGCAUUGCUUGUGCAACGAAUACUUUUCCAAAGCUGAAUAGAAUGUCAUCAAAAGAAAAGCUGAUCAAAACCCACGUCAGUGCUCUGGUCUUAACUUAGGAAUGGCUUACGUUGUUGUAUCUAUGUGAUGUUAAAAAACAAAACAAAACAAAAAAAAAAACAAUUGGCUUGGCCUCUGUUGACUGAUUGCGAUCACAGUAUGGCUCAGACCUCAAAGAUCAUCGAGCUCGAAUGCCUCCACCACCGGCCGGGCUGCCACCCACUCAAUUGGGCUGCCCAGAGAGCCACAUCCAGCCUGGCCUCGAACGCCUCCGGAGACGCGUCAUUCACAACCUCCCUGGGCAUCCUGUGUCAGUGCCUCAAUACCUCGAGUAAGAAAUUCCUGCCUCCUAAUAUCUAACCUAAAUCUUCCCUCUUUUCGUUUAAAGCCAUUCCACCUUGUUCUGUCACUAUCAGGUUGUAGCGGAAAUGCCAAAUCACAGCUUGAAUCACAGGUGAUUGCGCACCUGGUGGGAAGGCAGGGCCAACCCAGGGGACCUCAGGUGCACUCAAUGCAGCUGAGUGACCGGGAGGGGUGGAGCCAGGAUCCGCCCCUUCCCAGGCCUCAUUUAAGGGUCAGCAGUGGAGGUGAGGGUGUCUUGCUGGUGUUUCUUAUAUCCUUGAGGCCCUCUGAAGGUAAGCAGCUGCUUUUGUUUGUUUCUGCACCCACGGCUGUUGUGCUUGGGCUUGUUCUCUUUUGCUGCAGCCGUGGGCUUUGCCACCCUGCUGUUAUUGGUGUACUUUCCAUCGUGUUACAGUGUUACGCAGACCCUGUAAAAAGUUGGUCCUCCUCCUGUUUAUAAGAUACCUUCAAGUGCUAGAAGCCACAGUGAAGCAUUUUCUUCUCCUUGGUAAGCAAAAUCAAGUUCCAUCAACAACUUUUCUUGAUAGGAACAGUACUAAAGCUCUUUGCUCAUCUUUGUGGCCUUCCCCUGGACCCACUCCAUCAGCCCCACGUUCUCUCUCGUGCUGAGGGCCCCAGGCACAGGUCUCCAGAUAGAGCGCUGUGAGGGCAGAGUAGAGGGGGGACGAUUGCCUCCCUGUCUUGUUGCAGCCCAGGAUACCCUUGGUUUUCUGGGCUGGAAGUGCACUCUGCUGGCUCACACGGAGCUUCUAGUAUGCUGGAACCCUCAAGUUCUUCUCUGCAGGGCUGAUCUCAGUGACUUCUCCUCCUGGUCUGAGCUCGUAUCUAGCAAGGUCCUGACCCUUGGGAUGCGUGUUAUCGGGCCCCAUAGCCUUGUACGCACUCAGUCUCAUUGGGUGGUCUCAGACUCGCUCUUCUCUUACUGGGUGAGGGAUUUGAAUCCUCCAGCCCCCAGCCGGAGGUUUGUGAACAUGAGAGCUAUGGAAAUCCUGACCGCUAGCAAAGACUAAAGCGAGGAACUCAUUGAGCACUUCAGCCUUCCUUCCAUCUGUCGUUGCCCUUUCUCACUUAUGAGAGUGAGUAUGCUUUCCUUGUUCCUUUCUCUUGUGAGCAGUGUACCUGUAGAAAUCCCUUCCUGUUUCUUGUUUGUUUGUUUUUAAAUCUCCUGCCGAAUUCAGUGUCAUCUGAACUGUCGAGGGCUGGAGAACUCUCGUGCUCUCAGAAAGGCAUCCUUAAAGCGCUCCUUUCGUGCUCCUUUCUAACUCAGCGCUUGGGUAUAGAUAUACAUAUAUGAAGUUAUUUUUUUCUUCUUCUUCAUAUGGAGUGUUGUACUCAAUUUUAUGUAGUUAUUGCAUAAUGAGCCUCCUCUGCCUGAGUUAAGUGAAAGCUGUGAAGCGCAUUGAGUGUUGCAGAAGCAGAACCUGUCUGAAAUAAUGCUGCUUGGCUGGCUUUGUUGCCUUUUGGUGUGUGUGCGUGUGGGGGGGGAAUCGAGGAGAGCAACAGAUCUUUUUGUUUUAUGAGGCUUCCCUGAUGACAGGGCUUUUAAUAUUGGAACUUGUUUUCUACGGGAGGGUUCUUCUUUGUUGUUUAUAGUCUUUGGGAUUCUACAUGCUAUUCAGAAACAAUUGCUCAGAGGUAGGUAACUUAUGGUGAACCUGUUUCAUUCCCUGUCAAGUCUCAACAGAGAAGAGUGGUGUUACCUGAUACCUCUGUGGAGAUAGCCACUUCCAGAGUGCUCUGCACUUUACAGGGACUCUGCAUCCUUUGUUCCCAUAAGGCAAUAAACGCUGCCCAAUGAAUGCAGCAAUUGGUUCCCAGAGUAAAGAGUUCGGGGUGGAAUAGCACAGCGAGGUUGUUAAAUGCUGAUCUGAGCACAGAGUUAUUCACAAUGUCAUGGGAGGAGGUCAGACUGACUCUAAGCAAGUCCCGUGGAAAGGGAGUACAAGUUUAGCCUUGCGAUCUCUGAAAAAUCUUAAAUGAAAAUCCACCUUUCUCAAAAUUACUGAAACUCUGGACCAUUUCU